Molecule: ribosomal RNA, 468 nt
Filed under: uncultured bacterium
Lineage: Bacteria
Description: partial 16S ribosomal RNA
Rfam family: Bacterial small subunit ribosomal RNA
Source: RNAcentral
GACGAACGCUGGCGGCGUGCUUAACACAUGCAAGUCGAACGGAAAGGCCCUGCUUUUGUGGGGUGCUCGAGUGGCGAACGGGUGAGUAACACGUGAGUAACCUGCCCUUGACUUUGGGAUAACUUCAGGACACUGGGGCUAAUACCGGAUAGGAGCUCCUGCGGCAUGGUGGGGGUUGGAAAGUUUCGGCGGUUGGGGAUGGACUCGCGGCUUAUCAGCUUGUUGGUGGGGUAGUGGCUUACCAAGGCUUUGACGGGUAGCCGGCCUGAGAGGGUGACCGGCCACGUUGGGACUGAGAUACGGCCCAGACUCCUACGGGAGGCAGCAGUGGGGAAUAGUGCACAGUGGGCGGAAGCCUGAUGCAGCAACGCCGCGUGCGGGAUGACGGCCUUCGGGUUGUAAACCGCUUUCGCCUGUGACGAAGCGUGAGUGACGGUAAUGGGUAAAGAAGCACCGGCUAACUACGUG